Molecule: ribosomal RNA, 569 nt
Filed under: Bombus sushkini
Lineage: Eukaryota; Metazoa; Arthropoda; Insecta; Hymenoptera; Apidae
Description: partial 16S ribosomal RNA
Rfam family: Bacterial large subunit ribosomal RNA
Source: RNAcentral
UCACCUCUUUUAUCAAAAACAUCCCUUAUUGAUAAUAAUUUUAAGUCGAUCUGCCCAACGAUUUUAAAUUUAAUGGCUGCAGUAUAAUUGACUGUACAAAGGUAGCAUAAUCAAUUGUUUUUUAAUUGAAAACUGGAAUGAAAGAAUUAAUGAGAUAUAUUCUGUCUCAUAUAUAUUUAAUGAAUUUAAAUAUUUAGUAAAAAUGCUUAAAUAAAUUUAUGGGACGAUAAGACCCUAUAGAAUUUUAUAUUAAUAUUUAAUUAAUUAUUUAAUUUAAAUAUUAAUAUUUGAUUGGGAGGAUUAGUAAAUUUGAAGAACUUUAUUUUAAAAUUAAACUUUGAUUUAAGGAUGAUAUUGAUCUUGUAUUAUGAAUUAAAAGAAUAAAUUACCUUAGGGAUAACAGCGUAAUAUCUUUUAAAAGGUCAUAUUAAUAAAGAUGAUUACGACCUCGAUGUUGAAUUAAGAUAAAUUGUAAACGGAGAAGUUUAAAAAUUAAGUCUGUUCGACUUUUAAAAUCUUACAUGAUUUGAGUUCAAAUCGACGUGAGUCAGAUUGGUUUCUAUCUAUAA